UGGGGAAUAUUGCGCAAUGGGCGAAAGCCUGACGCAGCGACGCCGCGUGAGGGAUGAAGGUUUUCGGAUCGUAAACCUCUGUCAGAAGGGAAGAAACCGCACUGUGCUAAUCAGCAGUGCCUUGACGGUACCUUCAAAGGAAGCACCGGCUAACUCCGUGCCAGCAGCCGCGGUAAUACGGAGGGUGCAAGCGUUAAUCGGAAUUACUGGGCGUAAAGCGCACGUAGGCUGCUUUGUAAGUCAGGGGUGAAAUCCCACGGCUCAACCGUGGAACUGCCUUUGAUACUGCUUAGCUUGAAUCCGGGAGUGGGUGGCGGAAUUCCAGGUGUAGGAGUGAAAUCCGUAGAUAUCUGGAGGAACAUCAGUGGCGAAGGCGGCCACCUGGACCGGUAUUGACGCUGAGGUGCGAAAGCGUGGGGAGCAAACAGG
Molecule: ribosomal RNA, 429 nt
Filed under: Fusobacteriota bacterium
Lineage: Bacteria; Fusobacteriati; Fusobacteriota
Description: Fusobacteria bacterium partial 16S ribosomal RNA
Rfam family: Bacterial small subunit ribosomal RNA
Source: RNAcentral